GUCCACGCCCUAAACUAUGCAUACUAGGUAUUGGCAGUAUCGACCCUGUCAGUGCCGUUUAAAAAGCUAACGCGUUAAGUAUGCCGCCUGGGGAGUACGGUCGCAAGACUAAAACUCAAAGGAAUAGACGGGGACCCGCACAAGCAGUGGAACAUGUGGUUUAAUUCGAUGGUAAACGGGGAACCUUACCUGGGCUCAACUACUAGCUGCAAGCCUGCAGAAACGCAGGCCGCUUCGAGGGUGCUAGAUAGGUGCUGCAUGGUUGCCGU
RNAcentral lists this ribosomal RNA (269 nucleotides) under uncultured bacterium. RNAcentral's name for it is "partial 16S ribosomal RNA". It matches the Rfam family "Bacterial small subunit ribosomal RNA", at positions 793 to 1055 of the family's 1533-position model. The record is from RNAcentral.